GCUGCAAUCGGUGGCUAUGCCCAUUUUAGAGGGAAUUGUGGCCUCUUUGAGAAAGAAAAGGACACAAGGGAUUGGGAGAAGCUAAUGGAACAGCUAGCCCGACAAGUUGAAAGACAACCUGUGGGCAGUACUGUAAAAUGUCCAAAAUGCCGUCAAAAAAUUUACAAGGAUGAUGAUAAAUAUAUUUUCUGCUGGGCUUGCCAAGCUAGCUAUUGCACAAUGUGCAAAAAGCCGGUCCAGUUUACAGGGG
Non-coding RNA from Lolium perenne, 250 nucleotides. NCBI's taxonomy places the organism in Eukaryota, Viridiplantae, Streptophyta, Magnoliopsida, Poales, Poaceae. The record is from RefSeq and is a predicted model, not a curated record.